Molecule: long non-coding RNA, 682 nt
Organism: Lolium perenne
Lineage: Eukaryota; Viridiplantae; Streptophyta; Magnoliopsida; Poales; Poaceae
Source: RefSeq, a predicted model, not a curated record
CCAACCCACCCCCUCUCCCUCUAUAUAAAGGGGCUUGGCAGCCCACUCCCUCCUCACUUGCUCUCAUUUCCCACUCUCCACUCCUCUCCACUCCUCUCCUUUGCCUCAUUUCUUUUCACUCCCUACUAUUUCCUCCACUCCCUCACACUCUCCUCCUCCACUUCCCCACGAAAAUGGUGCUCCCCUUGCUCCCAUGGCCGGCCAUGGCCAUGGAAAGCCACCAAGAUGAAGCUCCCUUCCUCCCUCAAGCUCAUCCUCACCAUGAGAGCCUCCCCCUCCAUCUUCUCCCCAACCUUAGAUGGUUUAAUCUCCUCUUCUUCUCCCUCCAUUGCUAAGAUUGGAUCUUGAUGCAGGUGCAUGUUGGUCCAAGCAUGGAGAAGGUUGAGCUAUCCUCAGAUCUGAAGUUCUUGAGCAAAAUCAAAAUCUGGUCAGAUCUGACUUUGUCGAAUUAAACCAGGAGCUUGGAGACGAAUUUUUGAAUGAAACCAACUGGGGGUACUUAGCUUGUGCCAUGGUGAUACCGAGAGAGGCAAUUGCUAAGUUGUGAUACUCUCAUACCUUUACUAGAUGCGAACAAUUCCGGAGAAGAAGAACAAGUGGAAUCGGAUGAGAAGAUUUUAUUUAUAAUGUUGGGAUUGUUAUAUUGAUGGAGUUGAAGAAGUACGGGGACAAAUAAGCCCAG